Molecule: ribosomal RNA, 450 nt
Filed under: uncultured bacterium
Lineage: Bacteria
Description: partial 16S ribosomal RNA
Rfam family: Bacterial small subunit ribosomal RNA
Source: RNAcentral
CCUACGGGUGGCUGCAGUAAGGAAUAUUGGUCAAUGGACGAAAGUCUGAACCAGCCAUGCCGCGUGGAGGAUGAAGGUCCUCUGGAUUGUAAACUUCUUUUAUCUGGGACGAAACAAGGCUUUUCUAAGUCGUCUGACGGUACCAUAUGAAUAAGCACCGGCUAACUCCGUGCCAGCAGCCGCGGUAAUACGGAGGGUGCAAGCGUUAUCCGGAUUCACUGGGUUGUAGGUGGGUUUGGGUGUGUUGGUUGAAAUCCCCGAGCUUAACUUGGGAACUGCCAUUGAUACUAUCAGUCUUGAAUACCGUGGAGGUCAGCGGAAUAUGUCAUGUAGCGGUGAAAUGCUUAGAUAUGACAUAGAACACCAAUUGCGAAGGCAGCUGGCUACCCGAAUAUUGACACUGAGGCACGAAAGCGUGGGGAUCAAACAGGAUUAGAUACCCCGGUAGUC